AAGGAAUUAGUUAAAAUAUAACGUAAAUUUGUCAAAUUUAAAUAACUUUCUAAAAGUAUUCCUUU
This 65-nucleotide transfer RNA is filed under the name Cyanoplax caverna. RNAcentral describes it as "tRNA-Asp". The record is from RNAcentral. Lineage: Eukaryota; Metazoa; Mollusca; Polyplacophora; Chitonida; Tonicellidae.